GAUGAACGCUGGCGGCGUGCCUAAUACAUGCCAGUCGAGCGAACGGACGAGAAGCUUGCUUCUCUGCUGUUAGCGGCGGACGGGUGAGUAACACGUGGAUAACCUACCUAUAAGACUGGGAUAACUUCGGGAAACCGGAGCUAAUACCGGAUAAUAUUUUGAACUGCAUGGUUCAAAAGUGAAAGACGGUCUUGCUGUCACUUAUAGAUGGAUCCGCGCUGCAUUAGCUAGUUGGUAAGGUAACGGCUUACCAAGGCAACGAUGCAUAGCCGACCUGAGAGGGUGAUCGGCCACACUGGAACUGAGACACGGUCCAGACUCCUACGGGAGGCAGCAGUAGGGAAUCUUCCGCAAUGGGCGAAAGCCUGACGGAGCAACGCCGCGUGAGUGAUGAAGGUCUUCGGAUCGUAAAACUCUGUUAUUAGGGAAGAACAUAUGUGUAAGUAACUGUGCACAUCUUGACGGUACCUAAUCAGAAAGCCACGGCUAACUACGUG
Molecule: ribosomal RNA, 497 nt
Filed under: uncultured bacterium
Lineage: Bacteria
Description: partial 16S ribosomal RNA
Rfam family: Bacterial small subunit ribosomal RNA
Source: RNAcentral